CACGUAGGCGGACCGGAAAGUUGGGGGUGAAAUCCCGGGGCUCAACCUUGGAACUGCCUUCAAAACUCCCAGUCUUGAGGUCGAGAGAGGUAAGUGGAAUUCCGAGUGUAGAGGUGAAAUUCGUAGAUAUUCGGAGGAACACCAGUGGCGAAGGCGGCUUACUGGCUCGAUACUGACGCUGAGGUGCGAAAGCGUGGGGAGCAAACA
Molecule: ribosomal RNA, 207 nt
Filed under: uncultured bacterium
Lineage: Bacteria
Description: partial 16S ribosomal RNA
Rfam family: Bacterial small subunit ribosomal RNA
Source: RNAcentral